GACGAACGCUGGCGGCGUGCUUAACACAUGCAAGUCGAACGGAAAGGCCCUUCUUUUGUGGGUUGCUCUAGUUGCUACCUUUUUAUUAACCCUUUCGUCACCUGCCCUUUCCUUUGUUAUACCUUCCGUAAACUUUUGCUCAUCCCUGAUAUUAUCUCCUGCUGCAUGGUUGGGUUUGGAAAUUUUCGGCGGUUGGGGAUGGACUCGCGGCUUAUCAUCUUGUUGUUUGGGUAGUGGCUUACCAAGGCUUUGACGGGUAGCCGGACUGAGAGGGUGACCGGAAAAAGUGGGACUGAGAGACGGCCCAGACUCCGACGGGAGGCAGCAGUGGGGAAUAUUGCACAAUGGGCGGAAGCCUGAUGCAGCAAAGAAGCGUGCGGGAUGACGGCCUUCGGGUUGUAAACAGAUUUCGCCUGUGACGAAGCGUGAGUGACGGUAAUGGGUAAAGAAGCACCGGCUAACUACGUG
This 468-nucleotide ribosomal RNA is filed under the name uncultured bacterium. RNAcentral's name for it is "partial 16S ribosomal RNA". It matches the Rfam family "Bacterial small subunit ribosomal RNA", at positions 28 to 507 of the family's 1533-position model. The record is from RNAcentral.